AAAUUGAAGAGUUUGAUCAUGGCUCAGAUUGAACGCUGGCGGCAGGCCUAACACAUGCAAGUCGAACGGUAACAGGAAGCAGCUUGCUGCUUUGCUGACGAGUGGCGGACGGGUGAGUAAUGUCUGGGAAACUGCCUGAUGGAGGGGGAUAACUACUGGAAACGGUGGCUAAUACCGCAUAACGUCGCAAGACCAAAGAGGGGGACCUUCGGGCCUCUUGCCAUCAGAUGUGCCCAGAUGGGAUUAGCUUGUUGGUGAGGUAACGGCUCACCAAGGCGACGAUCCCUAGCUGGUCUGAGAGGAUGACCAGCCACACUGGAACUGAGACACGGUUCAGACUCCUACGGGAGGCAGCAGUGGGGAAUAUUGCACAAUGGGCGCAAGCCUGAUGCAGCCAUGCCGCGUGUAUGAAGAAGGCCUUCGGGUUGUAAAGUACUUUCAGCGGGGAGGAAGGUGUUGUGGUUAAUAACCACAGCAAUUGACGUUACCCGCAGAAGAAGCACCGGCUAACUCCGUGCCAGCAGCCGCGGUAAUACGGAGGGUGCAAGCGUUAAUCGGAAUUACUGGGCGUAAAGCGCACGCAGGCGGUCUGUCAAGUCGGAUGUGAAAUCCCCGGGCUCAACCUGGGAACUGCAUUCGAAACUGGCAGGCUUGAGUCUUGUAGAGGGGGGUAGAAUUCCAGGUGUAGCGGUGAAAUGCGUAGAGAUCUGGAGGAAUACCGGUGGCGAAGGCGGCCCCCUGGACAAAGACUGACGCUCAGGUGCGAAAGCGUGGGGAGCAAACAGGAUUAGAUACCCUGGUAGUCCACGCCGUAAACGAUGUCUACUUGGAGGUUGUGCCCUUGAGGCGUGGCUUCCGGAGCUAACGCGUUAAGUAGACCGCCUGGGGAGUACGGCCGCAAGGUUAAAACUCAAAUGAAUUGACGGGGGCCCGCACAAGCGGUGGAGCAUGUGGUUUAAUUCGAUGCAACGCGAAGAACCUUACCUGGUCUUGACAUCCACAGAACUUUCCAGAGAUGGAUUGGUGCCUUCGGG
This 1034-nucleotide ribosomal RNA is filed under the name Salmonella enterica subsp. enterica serovar Braenderup. RNAcentral's name for it is "bacterial SSU rRNA". It matches the Rfam family "Bacterial small subunit ribosomal RNA", at positions 1 to 1024 of the family's 1533-position model. Lineage: Bacteria; Pseudomonadati; Pseudomonadota; Gammaproteobacteria; Enterobacterales; Enterobacteriaceae. The record is from RNAcentral.